GACGAACGCUGGCGGCGUGCUUAACACAUGCAAGUCGAACGGAAAGGCCCCUUUGGGGGUACUCGAGUGGCGAACGGGUGAGUAACACGUGAGUAACCUGCCCUUGACUUCGGGAUAACUUUAGGAAACUGGGGCUAAUACCGGUUAGGAAUCCUUUCUGCAUGGGGGGGGUUGGAAAGCUUCGGCGGUUUUGGAUGUACUCGCUGGAUAUCUGCUUGUUGCUGGGGUAGUGGCUUACCGAGGCUUCGUCGGGUAGCCGGCCUGAGAGGGCGACCGGCCACAUUGGGACUGAGAUGCGGCCCAGACUCCUAAGGGAGGCAGAAGUGGGGAAUAUUGCACGAUGGGCGGAAGCCUGAUGCAGCAACGCCGCGUGCGGGAUGACGGCCUUCGGGUUGUAAACCGCUUUCAGCAGGGGCGAAGCUUGUGGUGACGGUACCUGCAGAAGAAGCACCGGCUAACUACGUG
This 465-nucleotide ribosomal RNA is filed under the name uncultured bacterium. RNAcentral's name for it is "partial 16S ribosomal RNA". It matches the Rfam family "Bacterial small subunit ribosomal RNA", at positions 28 to 507 of the family's 1533-position model. The record is from RNAcentral.